Molecule: long non-coding RNA, 334 nt
Organism: Dendronephthya gigantea
Lineage: Eukaryota; Metazoa; Cnidaria; Anthozoa; Malacalcyonacea; Nephtheidae
Exons: 3
Source: RefSeq, a predicted model, not a curated record
UUUCCAGAAUAUACCGUUUGGUUAAGACUUGUGUAUUAUAGUAUAUCAUAGUUUUAAAACUUCUUUUUCUGUCAGAUAUUUUCAAUAACUAGCUAUCGAGACCAUCCUCAGUUGUUCGGGCUGGAAUACACAAGCGGUCAGCUGAGAAAUUACUCGUCUUCCGACAGGGAUAUAUCAUUGGCUGGUUAGCUACACGGGGUUAGAGGCAGUGGAAAUGGAGAUGUUUGUGUAAAAACGACCCCAACGAAGAGACGGUUAUCGUUGGGGUCCAUUGUAUAACGUUGUUGACGAAGAAGUAGAAAGCAGUGAUUUGAAAUUCCUCGCUGCGUCUCCA